CGGCGAGCGAAGCGGCAAAAGCUCAAAUUUGAAAUCUGGCGUCUUUCUUAGGCGUCCGAGUUGUAAUUUGAAGAUGGCAACUUUGGGAUUGGCUCUCGCAUAUGUUCCUUGGAACAGGACGUCAUAGAGGGUGAGAACCCCGUUCAUGGCGAGAUGACCCAAUUCUAUGUAAAGUGCUUUCUAAGAGUCGAGUUGUUUGGGAAUGCAGCUCUAAGUGGGUGGUAAAUUCCAUCUAAGGCUAAAUAUUGGCGAGAGACCGAUAGCGAACAAGUACAGUGAUGGAAAGAUGAAAAGAACUUUGAAAAGAGAGUGAAAAAGUACGUGAAAUUGUUGAAAGGGAAGGGCUUGAAAUCAGACUUGGUAUUCAGUGAUCAACUGUCUCUCGGGACUGUGCACUCGCUGUUUACUGGGCCAACAUCGGUUUAGAGGGUGAGAUAAAAGCUAGAGAAUGUGGCACUGCUUCGGUAGUGUGUUAUAGCUCUGGUCAAUAUCACCACUCUAGACCGAGGACUGCGCUUUAUGCUAGGA
This 528-nucleotide ribosomal RNA is filed under the name Blastobotrys terrestris. Its description in RNAcentral is "eukaryotic LSU rRNA". It matches the Rfam family "Eukaryotic large subunit ribosomal RNA", at positions 87 to 612 of the family's 3401-position model. Lineage: Eukaryota; Fungi; Ascomycota; Dipodascomycetes; Dipodascales; Trichomonascaceae. The record is from RNAcentral.